Molecule: long non-coding RNA, 1131 nt
Filed under: Taeniopygia guttata (zebra finch)
Lineage: Eukaryota; Metazoa; Chordata; Aves; Passeriformes; Estrildidae
Description: lncRNA (ENSTGUG00000020704.1)
Source: RNAcentral
AUGUAUAUUUCAGGCUGCACUGUUAAUAACGUCCAAGGAACAAGCCUUAUUUUUCCCAUAAAUUUUUUUUUCGUGCCUAUGGUGGGUUUUAGAACUCAAAAAUACGGCUGGGGGCGGGCGGGGUUGGGGGUGUGGGAUCUGAAAUGCCGUGAGUGGAGGGGGGAGCUGCGGGGAAGGGUCGCGGCGGGCUCCCACGCGCGGUGCUCGCUCCAGCGGCGCUUCCCGGCCGGCGCCUCCCGGAGCCGGGGUCGCCCCCGGAGCCGCCCGCCGGGCCGGGCUGCCUCGGGGUGCCCUUGGGCUCUUCUCCGGCCCCGGCCCGUCGUUGUGGAGCGAUGCCGAGAUUGGACCAAAUCACCCAAAAAAAGAACCCCAGAGCCCGGCGCUCCGACCGCCCGUGCGGGGGCCGGGGCUUGUUCGGGAGGGACCAGGAGUCACCACGGCCGGGAAGGAGCGCGGGGAGCGCGGCCGGGGCUUCCCGCAUUUCGGCCCCUGCUCCGGGGAAGCGGCAGACGGGACCACUGCGCCCAAAAACGAACAAACAAAAAACCAAAACACAGCCCCCAAGAAACCCAAAAACAAUUAAAAAAAAAAAAAAAAAAAAAAAAAAAAGAGGAGGAGGAAGAAAACCACCCGGGGAGUAAUAAAAGAAGACGGAAAAAACGGAAGUUCACCUCCGAAGGGGCAAGCGCGGAGAAACUUUUGCAGCCCCAAAGGUGCAGGGGCGGCCAAGCGUUCCCCAAAACUCCAGAUUCUCGCCCCCGCUCCCGAAUUUCGGCAGCGGCGGAGCCUGGGGCUGCCCGUCCCCGCCCGGCGAGCGCCGGAGCUGGGGCGGCUCCCGCGGUGCGGCACCGAGAGGCGGCCCAGAGCACCCCGGGCUGGGCUGGGCAGUGCGGGGACAGCCCCGGUGCCCGGACAGAGCGCGGACAGGCGCGGCCGUGGGUGCCCCAGCCCGCCCCGCGAUCCGCAGAUCCCCUCGCAAACGGGGCUGCCACUCCCGAGCUCUGGCCGCGCCCCGGCACAGCGACCCGCGCCCACCCAGACCCCGCGGGGGGGUCCUCGGCGCUGAGGCUGGCGGGGCUCAGCCCGGCCCCGCAGCCCCCACAAGGACAGGGCUUUUUGCUUUUCUUCUGA